AAGAGUCAUCUUAGAUUGAGUCACGAGACAUGUGAACACUUGUUGUUUACAUAUUUUAGUGGCGGACGGGUGAGUAACGCGUAAGAAUCUGCCUCGGGGCGAGGGAUACCAACUGGAAACGGUUGCUAAUACCUCAUAAGCUGAGAAGUAAAAGGUGUACUGCACCACCAAGAGAGGAGCUUGCGUCUGAUUAGUUAGUUGGUAAGGUAAUGGCUUACCAAGGCUAUGAUCAGUAGCUGGUCUGAGAGGACAAUCAGCCACACUGGGACUGAGACACGGCCCAGACUCCUACGGGAGGCAGCAGUGAGGAAUUUUCCGCAAUGGGCGCAAGCCUGACGGAGCAAUGUCGCGUGAAGGAAGACGGCCCGUGGGUUGUAAACUUCUUUUCUUAGAGAAGAAAACUGACGGUAUCUAGGGAAUAAGCAUCGGCUAACUCCGUGCCAGCAGCCGCGGUAAUACGGAGGAUGCAAGCGUUAUCCGGAAUGAUUGGGCGUAAAGGGUCUUGAGGUGGCUGGCUUAAUCUACUGUGAAAGAUCAGGGCUUAACCCUGAACAGGCGGUGGAAACUAGCAAGCUGGAGUACGGUAGGGGCGGAGGGAAUUCUCGGUGGAGCGGUGAAAUGCAUACAUAUCGGGAAGAACACCAACGGCGAAAGCACUCCGCUGGGCCGACAACUGACACUGACAGACGAAAUCUAGGGGAGCGAAUGGGAUUAGAUACCCCCAGUACUCCUACCCGUAAACGAUGGACACUAACUAUUGAACGAAUUCAAUCCGUACAGUGGUGAAGCUAACGCCAUAAGUGUCCCGCCCGGGGAGAAUGCCCCCCAGAGUGAA
This 835-nucleotide ribosomal RNA is filed under the name bacterium 9F. RNAcentral's name for it is "bacterial SSU rRNA". It matches the Rfam family "Bacterial small subunit ribosomal RNA", at positions 59 to 898 of the family's 1533-position model. The record is from RNAcentral.